CCUUAGAGUUUGAUCAUGGCUCAGAACGUACGCUGGCGGCACGCCUAACACAUGCAAGUCGAACGAAGUAGCAAUACUUAGUGGCAGACGGGUGAGUAACAUGUGGGUAUCUACCCUUUGGCCUGGAAUAACACGAGGAAACUUGUGCUAAUACCGGAUAAGUCUUUACGGAGAAAGCUUUAUGCACCAUUGGAUGAGCCCGCACUUGAUUAGUUUGUUGGUAGGGUAAUGGCCUACCAAGACUAUGAUCAAUAGCUGAUUUGAGAGGAUGAUCAGCCACAUUGGGACUGAGACACGGCCCAAACUCCUACGGGAGGCAGCAGUGGGGAAUCUUGCACAAUGGAGGAAACUCUGAUGCAGCGAUGCCGCGUGAGUGAAGAAGGCCUUUGGGUUGUAAAGCUCUUUCGUCGGGGAAGAAAAUGACUGUACCCGAAUAAGAAGGUCCGGCUAACUUCGUGCCAGCAGCCGCGGUAAUACGAAGGGACCUAGCGUAGUUCGGAAUUACUGGGCUUAAAGAGUUCGUAGGUGGUUGAAAAAGUUAGUGGUGAAAUCCCAGAGCUUAACUCUGGAACUGCCAUUAAAACUUUUCAGCUAGAGUAUGAUAGAGGAAAGCAGAAUUUCUAGUGUAGAGGUGAAAUUCGUAGAUAUUAGAAAGAAUACCAAUUGCGAAGGCAGCUUUCUGGAUCAUUACUGACACUGAGGAACGAAAGCAUGGGUAGCGAAGAGGAUUAGAUACCCUCGUAGUCCAUGCCGUAAACGAUGUGUGUUAGACGUUGGAAAUUUAUUUUCAGUGUCGCAGGGAAACCGAUAAACACACCGCCUGGGGAGUACGACCGCAAGGUUAAAACUCAAAUGAAUUGACGGGACCCGC
This 871-nucleotide ribosomal RNA is filed under the name uncultured bacterium. RNAcentral describes it as "bacterial SSU rRNA". It matches the Rfam family "Bacterial small subunit ribosomal RNA", at positions 1 to 924 of the family's 1533-position model. The record is from RNAcentral.